AUUGAACGCUGGCGGCAUGCUUUACACAUGCAAGUCGAACGGUAACAGGCCGCAAGGUGCUGACGAGUGGCGAACGGGUGAGUAAUGCAUCGGAACGUGCCCAGUCGUGGGGGAUAACGCAGCGAAAGCUGCGCUAAUACCGCAUACGAUCUAUGGAUGAAAGCGGGGGACCGUAAGGCCUCGCGCGAUUGGAGCGGCCGAUGUCAGAUUAGGUAGUUGGUGGGGUAAAGGCUCACCAAGCCAACGAUCUGUAGCUGGUCUGAGAGGACGACCAGCCACACUGGGACUGAGACACGGCCCAGACUCCUACGGGAGGCAGCAGUGGGGAAUUUUGGACAAUGGGCGCAAGCCUGAUCCAGCAAUGCCGCGUGCAGGAAGAAGG
RNAcentral lists this ribosomal RNA (382 nucleotides) under uncultured bacterium. RNAcentral's name for it is "bacterial SSU rRNA". It matches the Rfam family "Bacterial small subunit ribosomal RNA", at positions 29 to 414 of the family's 1533-position model. The record is from RNAcentral.